GUAAUAUUUUAGCCACACUUUUUUAUGCUUGCUCACACUCAAUGCCUGAAAAUAGGAUGAAAUAGUAAAUUUUGUGGAAUAUACAAAUACGGUCAUUUUUAAUAACUAAAGAAGAAGAAAAACGUCUAUACAGUUGUCAAAUAAAAUUUUAACAAAUCAAAGAAACAAACAAUGUUGAAAAAGUUGUCAAAUGACAUUUCAACAAAAAAUUGACAAUGAUGCCUUAAAUAAAGUGGACUGGAACCUUUGAGAAACGAGUCUAAUGAAUAAUGAGAGGACAAAUCUAUACUAUACUAAAAGGAGAAUAAGAUGAGUGGUGAGAGUGUCCACGUCCUCACUUUAAAUCAGCCAAUGGGAUUGGUUCUUUUCUCCACGUGUACUCUCCAAUUUCUUCAUCUCACGUUUACAAAACUCUCGCUCUCUAGAUUAUUAACAAUUUGCAAAAGGCCUUUAACUAGCCCAAAACAUUUCCCGAAAAUCUGUACAGCCACGUCUUUCCAUCUUCUUCUACUCGCGAAACCCCAAAUUUCCUGCCGCUCCGGAUUUCUGGUGUAACUUUCUGCCUGAAUAAUUAAGCUUCAUCAAAUCUAUGUUAAUGGCUUCUGCAAUCAAAACCUACUCGCCGAUAGAAUUUCCAUGCCUUCACCCUAUAUAUAUAUCACUCUGUUACAGUCUACAAAAAAAUCCUUCACUUCCAUGACCAACAAAUCAGCAAUAUCAUCCUCCACAUUCACUACGCUAUGUUCUUCAGUUAUGUUCUUCUCGGCUUGGUAGAGGCAAAGCUUCUAUUUAGGAUCAUCCAUUUUUGGGAUCCCAGAGCACAGCGAGAGGAUACAUGCUUAUUGGUCUGGAUAUAAGGAGAGGAGGCGGAUUCAAAAUGCAUGUUCUUUCGACUACUGCAAAGAGAUUUCGUUUAUUUAUAGGAACUUCUAGCCGAAACAUGGAAGACCUUGAAAGUAUAUCGAAGGCUUGGUUCGAUUUUUGGAAAGAACGCUGAGGUGGAAACAUCUAGCUCCCAUUUCACAAACAACACCCGCAAUGAUACGACGGUUGACGCUUUCGACAGUUUUGUCUGCAAAAAUGGAGCCGGAAACCAUAUUCUGGGAGCUGUCUUUGUUGAUCUCGAGACCAUUGUCAUCUAUGAAAUCUACCGGGACUUACUAGCAGCUUUUCAAUCAUGAGUAACUUAUCUCUGGGAACAACUUCGCCAAUGUUGGAAAGGAGAUUGUGGACCUUUGUCUUAACAGUGUCAGAGAUCUUGCCGACAACUAUACAUGCUUGCAAGGGGUUAUUGGUCUUUAAUGCUGGUGGUGGAGUAACUGGUUCUGGUUUGGGAUAUCUGUUGUUAGAACCUUUGUCUGUAGAUUAAGGAAAUAAGUCGAAACUUGGAUCCACCAUAUAUCCUUCUCCUCAGGUUUGUACUGCUGUUAUAGGUACCUUACAACGGUGUUCUCUUGCUGCCUUCGCUACUUUAAAAAUCUCUCAUAUUUCCUAAAUUUUGCAAGCUCGGUGUUGCGGUUGUAGUGCGUUGAAGUUUGAGCUAAUGAUCUCCCUCAAAUGUCGGCAAAGAUUUUGACAGGGAUUCAUGUGGGCGAGAAAGUCUUAUUCCUAAGGAUUCAGUUAUUCGCAAAUGACAAUAUGCAUCCGUUCAUAUUCCAAAAGAGGCAAUACCACCAAUAAGAGUAUGUUAUGCACAGGUUGCCCUCAAUCUCCCAAGACCAGUUUGUAGGCAUGGUCAGUUGUUUGUGGCUCUCUCACGACUCACAAAGCCUGUGAGAAUAAAAAUACUUGAUAAUACGGAAGCUACAAGUAAGAUUUCACUUUCUAACAAUAUAACUUAAUAUAUCAGCCUGGCUUUUUAACAUACAUUGCAGGAAACAGCUUGGAUAGGAGUCCAGUUUCAUAACAACGACGAGCAAAACUACUCAUUGGGAAGACACCGAAACAGUCAAACACAUUGUUAGGAAUAGCUAUGUCUGAGACGCUUUGAAAUGUUAUAGAGAACUUGCAUAUUUUAGUUUAUUUACGAUAACGAAACAGAGCCACAAGUACGUGGUGAUGCAUUUUUUAUUAAGGAUAAGAAGGAUUAAAAUAUUAGACAGCUUAA
Long non-coding RNA from Brassica napus (rape), 2107 nucleotides. RefSeq lists it as uncharacterized. NCBI's taxonomy places the organism in Eukaryota, Viridiplantae, Streptophyta, Magnoliopsida, Brassicales, Brassicaceae. The transcript is spliced from 5 exons. The record is from RefSeq and is a predicted model, not a curated record.